CGCCUGUUUAUCAAAAACAUGUCUUUUUGUGAAUAAUUUAAGGUUUAGCCUGCUCCAUGACGAAGUUAAAUAGCCGCAGUAUAUUGACUGUGCAAAGGUAGCAUAAUCAUUAGUUUUUCAAUUGGAAGCUGGAAUGAAGGGCUGGAUGAAGAGGUGACUGUCUCAUUUUAAUUCUAUUGAAAUUUAUUUUUAAGUUAAAAAGCUUAGAUUUUAUAAAAAGACGAGAAGACCCUAUAGAGCUUAAUAAAUACUAAUUUAAAUUGCUUGAAGUUUUAAUUGUGGCUUUUAUUUGGUUUAUUUGGUUGGGGUGACAUGGAAUUUGAAUAAACUUCUUUAUAUUAGUACAUUGAUUUAUGCGUAAUUGAUCCUGAAGUUUGGAUUAUAAGAAUAAGUUACCUUAGGGAUAACAGCGUAAUCUUUUUGGAGAGCUCAAAUCAAUAAAAGGCAUUGCGACCUCGAUGUUGGAUUAAAGUUAAAUUUGGGUGCAGAAGCUUGAAUUUUGAGUCUGUUCGACUUAUGAAACUUUCGUGAUCUGAGUUCAGACCGG
RNAcentral lists this ribosomal RNA (547 nucleotides) under Pyrota akhurstiana. RNAcentral's name for it is "partial 16S ribosomal RNA". It matches the Rfam family "Bacterial large subunit ribosomal RNA", at positions 1797 to 2619 of the family's 2925-position model. Lineage: Eukaryota; Metazoa; Arthropoda; Insecta; Coleoptera; Meloidae. The record is from RNAcentral.